This 253-nucleotide ribosomal RNA is filed under the name uncultured bacterium. RNAcentral's name for it is "partial 16S ribosomal RNA". It matches the Rfam family "Bacterial small subunit ribosomal RNA", at positions 524 to 776 of the family's 1533-position model. The record is from RNAcentral.
UACGUAGGGGGCGAGCGUUGUCCGGAAUUAUUGGGCGUAAAGAGCUCGUAGGCGGUCCGUUAAGUCUGAUGUGAAAUCUCAGGGCUCAACCCUGAGACUGCAUCCGAAACUGCCUUGCUCGAGUAUGGGAGAGGGAAGUGGAAUUUCCGGUGUAGCGGUGAAAUGCGUAGAUAUCGGAAGGAACAUCAGUGGCGAAGGCGACUUCCUGGACCAAUACUGACGCUCAGGUGCGAAAGCGUGGGGAGCAAACAGG